Molecule: ribosomal RNA, 446 nt
Filed under: uncultured bacterium
Lineage: Bacteria
Description: partial 16S ribosomal RNA
Rfam family: Bacterial small subunit ribosomal RNA
Source: RNAcentral
CCUACGGGGGACAGCAGUCGAGAAUCAUUCACAAUGGGGGAAACCCUGAUGGUGCGACGCCGCGUGGGGGAAUGAAGGUCUUCGGAUUGUAAACCCCUGUCAUGUGGGAGCAAAUUAAAAAGAUGGUACCACACGAGGAAGAGACUGCUAACUCUGUGCCAGCAGCCGCGGUAAUACAGAGGUCUCAAGCGUUGUUCGGAAUCACUGGGCGUAAAGCGUGCGUAGGCUGUUUCGUAAGUCGUGUGUGAAAGGCGCGGGCUCAACCCGCGGACGGCACAUGAUACUGCGAGACUAGAGUAAUGGAGGGGGAACCGGAAUUCUCGGUGUAGCAGUGAAAUGCGUAGAUAUCGAGAGGAACACUCGUGGCGAAGGCGGGUUCCUGGACAUUAACUGACGCUGAGGCACGAAGGCCAGGGGAGCGAAAGGGAUUAGAUACCCCAGUAGUC